RNAcentral lists this ribosomal RNA (443 nucleotides) under uncultured bacterium. RNAcentral describes it as "partial 16S ribosomal RNA". It matches the Rfam family "Bacterial small subunit ribosomal RNA", at positions 28 to 507 of the family's 1533-position model. The record is from RNAcentral.
GAUGAACGCUGGCGGCAUGCCUAACACAUGCAAGUCGAUCGGUAAGGCUCUUCGGAGUACACGAGAGGCGGACGGCUGAGUAACGCGUAGGAACACACCCAGCAGUGAGGGAUAAGACACCGAAAGGUGUUCUAAUACCGCAUACGGUCUUCGGAUUAAAGCAUUUAUGCGCUGAAGGAGUGGCCUGCGUCAUAUUAGAUAGUUGGUGAGGUAAUGGCUCACCAAGUCGAUGAUGUGUAGCUGGUCUGAGAGGAUGAUCAGCCAGACUGGAACUGAGACACGGUCCAGACUCCUACGGGAGGCAGCAGUGAGGAAUAUUUCACAAUGAGCGAAAGCUUGAUGGAGCAAUGCCGCGUGCAGGAUGAAGGCCCUCGGGUUGUAAACUGCUUUUAUAAGAGAAGAUUAUGACGGUAACUUAUGAAUAAGGGACGGCUAACUACGUG